GGAAGGCUUCCUGGAGCAGAUGGGUUAUCAGAAGGAGUUGAAGAUGUGGAUUUGUGAUCUCUCAGAUAGGAAGAAGGAGGGAGUUCCAAGCAGGAAAGAGGUUACAAGCAGCCGGUCAGCCACAAGAGAAAUGAGAACAAGACACAGUGAGUCUAAUACACACCCCAGGACCAAACCAUUUGCAACCGAAAGCUCCAUGCCGCUUCUUUCUCCACCAAAAGCCAGAUGGAUCCGUUCCAGCUCAGCAUUCCCGUCAGGAGACAAGCACAAGAUCCCGAGGCAAAGUUCCCAGGUGCAUCCGGAUUCAUUUCCCAGAAAUGAAAUUCAGUGUGUGUCCAGAACAUCCAUCUCUUUGUGAUGCGAACAUCUGGACUGCCUAUCCACGGAGUACCUGGCUCCAGAAAGGACCACUCCAGUCAAAAUUUUGUCCUCCUUCCUCAACUUCUCUGAGGCUCUGAUGCUUAAAAAAACUUGGGACCAAAACAUCAGUGAAACUCGGAAACUGAGUGUGUCUUCAUCAUUAUCAUAAACUCCUAGCGCUGGACGGGAGUUCAAAAGGUAACCUGGUCCAGUCUCCUGGCUCCAGGGAAAUGAGGUCUAAACUGUCGUGUUUGUAAAGCUCCACAAUACUCCCUUUUCCUAGGUUUAAUUCUGUAUGCAGUCCAUUUUGCAGUCUCAUUCAGUCCAUUAGAGAAGCAGCAUGGCUCAGUGGAAAGAGCAUGGGCUUGGGAGUCAGAGGUUGUGGGUUCUAAUCCCAACUCCACCACUUAUCAGCUAUGUGACUUUGGGCGAGUCACUUAACGUCUCUGUUCCCCAGUUACCUCAUCUGCAAAAUGGGGAUUAAGACUGUGAGCCCCACGUGGGACAACCUGAUCACCUUGUGCCUACCCCAGCGCUUAGACCAGUGCUUGGCACAUAGUAAGCGCUUAACAAAUACCAUCAUCAUUAUUAUUAUUAUUGUUUUUCCUUUCCCUUUUGCCGUGACCUGUCCAAUUAGCCCCCUCUGGGCCUCACCUCGGCCUCUUUUGGUCUCUCCCACACUUGUUCUGCUUAGUAAAAGCUUAGUACAGUGCUCUGACAGUAAGCGCUUAACGAGUACAAUGAAACAAACAAUAAAUACCACCGAAUCACUGAUUGAUUGAUUCUGCUGAGACCCUUGGCUCCUUUGAGGGGACUAAGAAGGAAGGCAAAACUUCAGCCCUCUAACUGUCCUCGCUUUGACCCCAUUCAACAGGGAAUGAAGUUCUUAGGGGAAAGAAGAGAGGCUUCACUGCUCUGUGCCGGGUUUAUAUCUGUUUCACGGUACAUGUUAAGCAUUUUCCGUCCAUCGAGCACUGUUCUAAGUGCUGAGGAACACACAGUCAGUCAGUCGUACCUACUGAGUGCUUACUGUGUGCAGAGCACUGUGCUAUGUGCUUGGGAGAGUGCAAUACAACAAUAUAGCAGACAAAUUCCCUGCCCAUAGUGAAUUUAUAGUUUAGAGGAUGAGCUUACAGUCUAGAGGACCGAUUAUUCAAGAUAAGCAGGCCGGACACCGUCCCUGCCCCCCUGUCCCACAGUCACAGUAUAAGUAGGAAAGAGCACGGGUAUUUAAUCCCAGUUUUUACAGUUGAGGAAACUGAGGCACAGAGAAGUGAAGUGACUUGUCCAAGGUCUCACAGCAAGCAAGUGGCAGAGUUUGGAUUAGAAUCCAGAUCCUCUGACUCCCUGGCCAGGGCUGUUUUCACUAGGCCACGCUGUUUCUCAAGGUCGUUACGCCAGCAGUACCAACUGGUCUCUGCAGCUGGGUACCACCUCGCCCAUCUCCAUGGAUGCAGAGAAGAGGCGUAGGAGGCUGUGUUCAAGGCAGCAGGCUGGGGGAAGAAGACAGGGUUCAUGGCCUCUCACUCACCCCCAGGCCUGUGCCCAAGCUCCUGGGGGAAGACAGCAGGGUCUUCUUUCUGAUGUGGAACUGCCAAAGUUGCCAAUUCCGUGUGCUGGGUUCCUCGAGGCUCUUUCCCACAGAAGGGAGGCUCUGGGGCUGCCUGCUCUGGGCUCAGUGCCAGCAGGCUCUGGCAUUCUCGCUGGGUGGAGGCGGAGUGCAGAGAGCUAAAGAGCAGGAUGCAGGCUGAAUUUCAAUGCCAGCGAGGAGGCAGAAAAAACCCGUGCUGCUUCGCUUUCAUGCGGGAGGGUCCUGGAACAGAGGGAGAGCAGGAGAAUGGGUGUUCGCUCUGUGUGUGUGUUUUGUUAUUUGGGGUGCAUAUUUAUAUAUCUGU
RNAcentral lists this long non-coding RNA (2255 nucleotides) under Ornithorhynchus anatinus (platypus). RNAcentral describes it as "lncRNA (ENSOANG00000039134.1)". Lineage: Eukaryota; Metazoa; Chordata; Mammalia; Monotremata; Ornithorhynchidae. The record is from RNAcentral.